UGUGUCCUACGGGACGCAGCAGUGGGGGAUAUUGCACAAUGGGGGGAACCCUGAUGCAGCGACGCCGCGUGGGCGAUGGAGUGCUUCGGCAUGUAAAGCCCUAUCAGCAGGGAAGAAAAUGACGGUACCUGACUAAGAAGCCCCGGCUAACCACGUGCCAGCAGCCGCGGUAAUACGUAGGGGGCAAGCGUUAUCCGGAUUUACUGGGUGUAAAGGGAGCGUAGACGGCAGUGCAAGUCUGGAGUGAAAGGCGGGGGCUCAACCCCCGGACUGCUCU
This 277-nucleotide ribosomal RNA is filed under the name uncultured bacterium. RNAcentral's name for it is "partial 16S ribosomal RNA". It matches the Rfam family "Bacterial small subunit ribosomal RNA", at positions 333 to 627 of the family's 1533-position model. The record is from RNAcentral.